AGGAGGCAAGGUUGCCGGGUGCUU
RNAcentral lists this unclassified non-coding RNA (24 nucleotides) under Mus musculus (house mouse). RNAcentral describes it as "oocyte_clustered_small_RNA12995". The record is from RNAcentral. Lineage: Eukaryota; Metazoa; Chordata; Mammalia; Rodentia; Muridae.